AGUGAACGCUGGCGGUAGACCUAACACAUGCAAGUCGAACGGCAGCACAGUAAGAGCUUGCUCUUACGGGUGGCGAGUGGCGGACGGGUGAGGAAUACAUCGGAAUCUACUUUUUCGUGGGGGAUAACGUAGGGAAACUUACGCUAAUACCGCAUACGACCUACGGGUGAAAGCAGGGGAUCUUCGGACCUUGCGCGAUUGAAUGAGCCGAUGUCGGAUUAGCUAGUUGGCGGGGUAAAGGCCCACCAAGGCGACGAUCCGUAGCUGGUCUGAGAGGAUGAUCAGCCACACUGGAACUGAGACACGGUCCAGACUCCUACGGGAGGCAACAGUGGGGAAUAUUGGACAAUGGGCGCAAGCCUGAUCCAGCCAUACCGCGUGGGUGAAGAAGGCCUUCGGGUUGUAAAGCCCUUUUGUUGGGAAAGAAAAGCAGCAGGUUAAUACCCCGCUGUUCUGACGGUACCCAAAGAAUAAGCACCGGCUAACUUCGUG
This 492-nucleotide ribosomal RNA is filed under the name uncultured bacterium. Its description in RNAcentral is "partial 16S ribosomal RNA". It matches the Rfam family "Bacterial small subunit ribosomal RNA", at positions 29 to 507 of the family's 1533-position model. The record is from RNAcentral.